GGGCCCGUGGGCAGCCUGCCCCGGGCUGUCGCGACUGAGCGGUGAGUCGUAACGGGCGUCCGUGGCUUAGGCGAGAGCAGACCGUAUCGCGUGUUGAGUUGUGUUCAGGGAAGAAGAAGGUGCACUAUCAUGAGAAAUAAAGAAGAAAUGUGCAAAGCCAGAAGAAAUUACGUUCUAAACCUGAGAACUAUUUUGGUUUGUUUUUUAAUGUGCAUUAGUGCGUCAAAAGGGAAUUUUAAACUGUCUACCAUUCAGAAGUUCCAUCAGGUAUCCUGCUAAGUACAAGUGAAGAACUAGACUCUGUUAUAUCCUUCAUAUCCUUUGCUUUUAAUUUAGACUUUGACUGAGCCAGAGGUACAGGAGCAUCUGGGAAGAAUCUGAAUAAAAAAGCAAGACCAGAAAUGGUUACUCAAUUUGAGAGUAGUUUAUAUGCCUGAAGAUAAAGGAAUUGGCUUUUGAUUAGGGAAAAGGGACAGCUUUUCAAAUGAAGUUCCGAUUGCAUGAGUUCAAGCACACAUUUUGGAAACUUCUUCAAACAACUGAAAUUCCUGCUCUCAGCUGCUUUUUUCCCAGUUGACUGGGAAUCCAAGGGCUGGUGUGCACAGCUGAAAAUUAAAAUCUUAGAAUCCCAUUUUAGUGCCCUAUUAUCCCACUCUUGGUUUCAGUGAAGUUUCCAUAGUAUAUCCCAGGUGAUGAUGAUGUAUUUAGAAGGCACAUUCUUAGCCAGGAAGCCCAUUCUGCAUCAGAACAUGAAAGAUAUGUAAGCAAAGUGAGAAACCUAAGUCCCAAAAGUGAGAAUUAACCUUCAGUAAAAUUAAUAAAUACUGGAGUAACUAUUCAGCUGUACACAGUUAACAUCACAUGAAGUCUUUGAAGAUGAUUUUUGGAGCAAUGUGUGAGAUUGUGAGUUGGAUAGAGGGAGUGGAGAACAAGUGUUUGGAUUUUGUUUUGGUUUUAAUUCUAGCUAAAAAUCAAAGGGUAAAAUCAAAGAACGUGUUAGUCCACUGACUGAUGUUUGUGUGUCAUUUGAUUUCAUUGUUUUCUUCUGUUUGAUCUGUAUACAUCUGCCGCUGAUUCUAAGUUUAGGCAGAGGUGGUCUCUUUUAAUCUGCAUUUGUGUAGCAGCUAACACAGAGAGCCCCUGCUCUGUGCACGGAGCUCCUGGACACUGUUGCAGUGUAAAUGAAAAUGAAAAGGGAAAUACUCUUUCACGAGGGAGUGUUCAAGCGUAGGCAAACCAACCUGCAUAUACUUUGCACAGAUGGCAGCUGUGUAAAGCAAGGACAUAUCUGAGUCAGUGUCAGUCUGUUCCCCUGUAGAUGGUGCCCCUAGUUCAGGGAUUCUCUCUUGGGUUGAAAAAUCUGCAUCCCUAAUCUUCCUCCCCACUUUGAACAUCAGUUUUCACUAAAGUGGUGCUCAGGGUAGACUCCAGAAAAAAAUGUGUUUUCAGUGUGGGUAGGACAAACUGGACUGAAGUACCGGCUUUCUUUUCAGGAUGAAUCUACUAUAUAAAAUGACAAGCUACUGAACCGUCAGCUUCCAGACUGCCCAGAUAUUAUCAGUCUCCAAUCUUACCUUCUGGUGUUAGACAUUAUGGCUUCCCCAUGUAAAAUUUCUAAUCACUGGUGAGCAUAUGCAUCAUAUGGAUGACUGUGUAAUAAAAAGGAAUGGGAAGUGGGAUUUCUAAUUUAAUUUUGUGGAGCUGACCUUCACAAAGUGCAAGGAAGACCUGUGUAAUGGCAGUCAGUGUUACCUCUGAGAACAGGGAUGAGACUUAAACAAGGACUUUUCAAAUGGAUAUGCAUGAUUGCCACAAUUGCGUAAGAGAGGACAUUCCAUUGUCUCCAAUAUAAAAUAGGGGUAACUUUGGAUGAACACGAAUGAAUUGCUUGUUAAGUGCAAAAUAUGCUUAUAUUUACACUAACUUGAGAGUGGAAUGAGGGCGAAUAACAUAUGUAUUAGAAUAUAGCACUGAAGUGUUGAGUAAAACCUUAUGGCUUCAGGCUACCUGAAUUUCAUGUCUCUAAUUUGAGAUCUCCACAAAGCCUUCAUGGUGAAGCAGACAUAUAACAAAGAUCCCUCAGAAAGCCAGCCCAGCCAUGAAGCUUGGCAAGUUCUACCAUCUAACUAUGCAGAGCAGGCCAAGAACAUCCCUGUGAAGAAAAAAAUGGGAUGGUGUUACUCAGGUAAAAAAGUAGUUAAUGUAUUUUAAAUUUCAGAAAUUACUUCUGAAUAUCAGUAGCCUGAUAAAUAAUUCUAAAGGAACUUUAUUUUUAUUUAGCUCACAUGAUCAUUGCAUUCAAAUGGCACAGUGAAAUUACCCUAGUAUUUAUAUUUAAAAUGCCAAACCAUAGGAGUGUCAGGAUUUUUUUUACAGUAGUCACCAUUUCAUAAUAUUUUCUGUCCUUUUUUUAAAAUGUAUUUACUUUCUUACAGAAAUGUAGUCACUGUACAAUUCUGAUGUUUAGAAUACUGUUGGGCUUAAAAGCUUGCAAAACACGUGGCUAAAUGAACUGGAAAUUACAUAUCAUUAAUAUAAUUAGGAGAAAAGAUUUUUUAAUUUUGAU
Athene cunicularia (burrowing owl) is the source of this 2566-nucleotide long non-coding RNA. RefSeq lists it as uncharacterized. The record is from RefSeq and is a predicted model, not a curated record. Lineage: Eukaryota; Metazoa; Chordata; Aves; Strigiformes; Strigidae. The transcript is spliced from 3 exons.